This 210-nucleotide long non-coding RNA is filed under the name Gossypium barbadense (sea-island cotton). RNAcentral describes it as "long non-coding RNA (GBAR_LNC005232)". The record is from RNAcentral. Lineage: Eukaryota; Viridiplantae; Streptophyta; Magnoliopsida; Malvales; Malvaceae.
UAAGCUCGUAAUUCAAGUAACACAUCAAAGAAUGAGGGUGAUUGUAUAAAUCGUACUACUAAUACUGAUUAUGUGGUGAAACCUUCAUUGCAGGAAAUACUUUCGAAAAGCAUACAUGAGCCUUGUUCAAAUAACAACAAAGAACCCAUCUAUGAAAAAUGAAGGUUUCAAGUCGAGGAACUAGAUGAAUGGCCGACACAGAAAUCGAGA